CCGACACGACCGUACCGCAAACCGACACUGGUGCGCGAGAUGAGUAUUCUAAGGCGCUUGAGAGAACUCAGGAGAAGGAACUCGGCAAAUUGACACCGUAACUUCGGAAGAAGGUGUGCCUUUAGUAGGUGAAGUCCCUCGCGGAUGGAGCCCAAUGAGGUUGCAAAAAAUCGGUGGCUGCGACUGUUUAUUAAAAACACAGCACUCUGCAAACACGAAAGUGGACGUAUAGGGUGUGACGCCUGCCCGGUGCUGGAAGAUUAAAUGAUGGGGUGCAAGCUCUUGAUUGAAGUCCCAGUAAACGGCGGCCGUAACAAUAACGGUCCUAAGGUAGCGAAAUUCCUUGUCGGGUAAGUUCCGACCUGCAUGAAUGGCGUAACGAUGGCCACACUGUCUCCUCCUGAGACUCAGCGAAGUUGAAAUGUUUGUGAUGAUGCAAUCUCCCCGCGGAAAGACGGAAAGACCCCAUGAACCUUUACUGUAGCUUUGUAUUGGACUUUGAACAGAUCUGUGUAGGAUAGGUGGGAGGCUUUGAAGCAGGGUCGCUAGAUCUUGUGGAGCCAACGUUGAAAUACCACCCUGGUGUGUUUGAGGUUCUAACCUAGGCCCGUAAUCCGGGUUGGGGACAGUGCAUGGUAGGCAGUUUGACUGGGGCGGUCUCCUCCCAAAGUGUAACGGAGGAGUUCGAAGGUACGCUAGUUACGGUCGGACAUCGUGACGAUAGUGCAAUGGCAUAAGCGUGCUUAACUGCGAGACUGACAAGUCGAGCAGAUGCGAAAGCAGGACAUAGUGAUCCGGUGGUUCUGUAUGGAAGGGCCAUCGCUCAACGGAUAAAAGGUACUCUGGGGAUAACAGGCUGAUACCGCCCAAGAGUUCAUAUCGACGGCGGUGUUUGGCACCUCGAUGUCGGCUCAUCUCAUCCUGGGGCUGUAGCCGGUCCCAAGGGUAUGGCUGUUCGCCAUUUAAAGAGGUACGUGAGCUGGGUUUAAAACGUCGUGAGACAGUUUGGUCCCUAUCUUCCGUGGGCGCUGCAGAUUUGAGGAAGCCUGCUCCUAGUACGAGAGGACCGGAGUGGACGCACCUCUGGUGUAUCGGUUGUCACGCCAGUGGCAUUGCCGAGUAGCUAUGUGCGGAAGAGAUAACCGCUGAAAGCAUCUAAGCGGGAAACUCGUUUCAAGAUGAGAUCUGCCGGGGCCUUGAGCCCCCUGAAGAGUCGUUCAAGACCAGGACGUUGAUAGGUCGGGUGUGGAAGCGCAGUAAUGCGUUAAGCUAACCGAUACUAAUUGCUCGUGCGGCUUGACCA
Molecule: ribosomal RNA, 1303 nt
Filed under: metagenome
Description: bacterial LSU rRNA
Rfam family: Bacterial large subunit ribosomal RNA
Source: RNAcentral